ACUUUCUAGAUGAGGACAUUGAAAAUCCUGAGAGAUCCGGUGACAGGCCACCUAAGAAGCUGGGAUCCAGGUUUCAAUGGCCAGUGUGCCUUUGCUGCACGGACCACAGCCUUAGCUGACCUCAGCUGAGUUGCUCACCUGUCACUUCGAGCCUUCAACAGACACUAAAGCCUAGAGUUGUUCCAUGUGGGAGAUACUGCUGCUGCUACUGCUAAGUCGCUUCAGUUGUGUCUGACUCUGUGCGACCCCAUAGACAGCAGCCCACCAGGCUCCCCCGUCCCUGGGAUUCUCCAGGGGAUCUUCCCGAGCCGGGGAUUGAACCUACAUCUCCAGCGUCUCCUGCAUUAGCAGGUAAAUUCUUUACCAAUGAGCCACCUGGGAAGCCCCCCUCUAACUUCAGGUGCUUUCAAAUCACCCAGAGGAUGCUGGGCCUACAUCACUGAGUUUGCACGACUAACAAUUUUGAAGGUGAUGCUGAUACUACUGGUUCAAAGACUAGCCUGUGGGAACCACAGCCUUAGACCAAGCUAAACGAGAAAGAGCACUAACUAGGAAUCGACAGACCCAGACUCUAAUCCUAGAUCUGUCAUGGUCUCGCUGUGUAACUUUACGGAAGUCAUUUGGCAUCUCAACUUCUGUUUCUCCAUUAAACGACAUACUUAAAU
This is a long non-coding RNA of Bos taurus (domestic cattle), 665 nucleotides long. NCBI's taxonomy places the organism in Eukaryota, Metazoa, Chordata, Mammalia, Artiodactyla, Bovidae. The record is from Ensembl.